CCUACGGGAGGCAGCAGUAGGGAAUUUUUGGCAAUGGGGGGAACCCUGACCGAGCAACGCCGCGUGAACGAAGAAGUUAUUCGUAAUGUAAAGUUCUUUUAACAGGGAAGAAAGAGAAAGUUGAUGGCACCUGAAGAAUAAGCUCCGGCUAACUACGUGCCAGCAGCUGCGGAAAUACGUAGGGAGCGAGGGUUACCCGGAAUGAUUGGGCGAAAGGGGGGGGUAGAUGGCAUGGCAAGUCGUUUCGAAAAAUGCUGGGCUCAACCCAGUAGGUCAAAAGAUACUGGAAAGCUAGAGUAUGACAGAGGCAAGUGGAACUACAUGUGUAGCGGUAAAAUGCGUAGAUAUAUGUAAGAACACCAGUGGCGAAGGCGGCUUGCUGGGUCGUUACUGACAUUGAGGCACGAAAGCGUGGGGAGCAAACAGGAUUAGAUACCCCUGUAGUC
RNAcentral lists this ribosomal RNA (446 nucleotides) under uncultured bacterium. RNAcentral's name for it is "partial 16S ribosomal RNA". It matches the Rfam family "Bacterial small subunit ribosomal RNA", at positions 338 to 795 of the family's 1533-position model. The record is from RNAcentral.